Molecule: ribosomal RNA, 429 nt
Filed under: Pseudomonadota bacterium
Lineage: Bacteria; Pseudomonadati; Pseudomonadota
Description: Proteobacteria bacterium partial 16S ribosomal RNA
Rfam family: Bacterial small subunit ribosomal RNA
Source: RNAcentral
UGGGGAAUAUUGGACAAUGGGCGAAAGCCUGAUCCAGCCAUGCCGCGUGCGUGAAGAAGGUCUUCGGAUUGUAAAGCACUUUAAGUUGGGAGGAAGGGCAGUAAGCGAAUACCUUGCUGUUUUGACGUUACCGACAGAAUAAGCACCGGCUAACUCUGUGCCAGCAGCCGCGGUAAUACAGAGGGUGCAAGCGUUAAUCGGAAUUACUGGGCGUAAAGCGCGCGUAGGUGGUUCGUUAAGUUGAAUGUGAAAGCCCCGGGCUCAACCUGGGAACUGCGUCCAAAACUGGCGAGCUAGAGUAGGGCAGAGGGUGAUGGAAUUUCCUGUGUAGCGGUGAAAUACGUAGAUAUAGGAAGGAACACCAGUGGCGAAGGCGACCACCUGGGCUCAUACUGACACUGAGGUGCGAAAGCGUGGGGAGCAAACAGG